CACCGAAUACAGCUGGUGCAGAGCCAUCGCUGGCGGCACAGGCAUCGCCGUCAUAGCUCUAUUACUCUCCCGAACCCCAAAGCUCGAGAAUCUCCAAAACACCCUCGACAAACUCCAGAUUCACCAUCCCACCCUCCGCUCCACCUUCCGCUACGACGCGUCCACCAGCUCCUUCUCCCUCGCAACCUCCGCCUCCUCCCGCGUCGUAAUCCACCCCUUCGAUUCAUCAUCAACGGCGCAGAUCAUCCGAGACAGCGACGAUCCCUGCGCGGAACCGCACAGGAUCAUUCUAGAGCACGAGCUGAACAAGAACACGUGGAUCGAUCCGCACCGUUGGAGUAACGGCGAGUGCGGCGUCUUCUUCGUCAGCCUCUACGAUCUGAGCGGCGGCGAGGAGAGAGUGCUGACGUUUCGGCUGAACACCGGGGCGUGCGAUCGGACUUCGGCGGUUACGCUUCUGAGGGAGUUUAUGAGAGAGACGACGGUUGCGGAGGGUGAUGGAUGUUGCGACGGACACGUGGCGAAGGAGGCGGGGUUAGGUAAGGCGAUAGAGGAGAUGAUUCCGAGUGGGAAAGGGGAUAAACCGUUUUGGGCGCGUGGGAUCGACGUGCUGGGUUACUCGCUGAAUGCGUUCCGGUUCUCGAAUUUGAGUUUCGUGGACGCUGAGGAAUCGAACCGGAGAUCUCAGGUGGUAAGGAUGAAACUGGAAAGAGAUCAGACUCUCAAACUUGUGGCUGUAAGUGUCUCUCCUUAUUCAACCAACUUCUCUAUAGUUGCGUCCGCAGAUUUGCUUACUAUUAUUGCGUAUUAAGAGCAUUUAGUAUUAAUUUAUUUAAAUAUUGAAUAUUAUUAUCAAAAUGAUAAUCUUUUCUGAUAUAUGAACACUUAUCUCUGCAAUGAGUUACGACACAUUUAUAACAUGCUCAACAUGACAAAAUAUAAAAUGUUCGAUGCUCGAGCAAGGCACAUGAGACAGAGAGAUCAACAAUGUAACACACACACAAACAACAACAGCUUAUUGUCAUACUUGAGGUAUUCUAAAAUACCUCUUUUUCUUUUUGUUCAAUAAAAAAAUAAUUCGGGAAAUGCAAAAUCAAUUGCUAAACCGGUAAAACAGUAAACCGGAAUAAAGGAAAAGGUACGUCACUGUAUCUUCCCCAUAUUAGCCAACAAACUCACCAAAGAAACAAAACAAAAUCACUUUAGAAUCCCCAAAAAAAAAAAACUGAAAACACAAUCUCUCUCUCUCUCACUUCUACAAUGAGUGAUCCGAACCGUGUACCCGAAUCCAUAACCCGACCCGUUGGAGGCACCGAAUACAGCUGGUGCAGAGCCAUCGCUGGCGGCACAGGCAUCGCCGUCAUAGCUCUAUUACUCUCCCGAACCCCAAAGCUCGAGAAUCUCCAAAACACCCUCGACAAACUCCAGAUUCACCAUCCCACCCUCCGCUCCACCUUCCGCUACGACGCGUCCACCAGCUCCUUCUCCCUCGCAACCUCCGCCUCCUCCCGCGUCGUAAUCCACCCCUUCGAUUCAUCAUCAACGGCGCAGAUCAUCCGAGACAGCGACGAUCCCUGCGCGGAACCGCACAGGAUCAUUCUAGAGCACGAGCUGAACAAGAACACGUGGAUCGAUCCGCACCGUUGGAGUAACGGCGAGUGCGGCGU
Molecule: long non-coding RNA, 1667 nt
Filed under: Brassica napus (rape)
Lineage: Eukaryota; Viridiplantae; Streptophyta; Magnoliopsida; Brassicales; Brassicaceae
Description: long non-coding RNA (BNAP_LNC021872)
Source: RNAcentral